ANUGGNAUGGGCGAAAGCCUGAUCCAGCCAUUCCGCGUGAGUGAAGAAGGCCUUAGGGUUGUAAAGCUCUUUUGGCGGGGACGAUAAUGACGGUACCCGCAGAAUAAGCCCCGGCUAACUUCGUGCCAGCAGUCGCGGUAAUACGAAGGGGGCUAGCGUUGUUCGGAAUUACUGGGCGUAAAGCGCACGCAGGCGGAUCGAUAAGUCGGGGGUGAAAUCCCGGGGCUCAACCUCGGAAUUGCCUUCGAUACUGUCGAUCUCGAGUCCGGGAGAGGUGAGUGGAAUUCCUAGUGUAGAGGUGAAAUUCGUAGAUAUUAGGAAGAACACCAGUGGCGAAGGCGGCUCACUGGCCCGGUACUGACGCUCAGGUGCGAAAGCGUGGGGAGCAAACAGGAUUAGAUACCCUGGUAGUCCACGCCGUAAACGAUGGAUGCUAGCCGUUGGGGAGCUUGCUCUUCAGUGGCGCAGCUAACGUCUUAAGCAUCCCGCCUGGGGAGUACGGUCGCAAGAUUAAAACUCAAAGGAAUUGACGGA
Molecule: ribosomal RNA, 534 nt
Filed under: uncultured bacterium
Lineage: Bacteria
Description: bacterial SSU rRNA
Rfam family: Bacterial small subunit ribosomal RNA
Source: RNAcentral